GGUUGGUUAGCUCAGUUGGUUAGAGCGUGGGGCUGCUAACACCAAGGUCCAGGUUCAAUCCUUGUACCAGCCA
Molecule: non-coding RNA, 73 nt
Organism: Galeopterus variegatus (Sunda flying lemur)
Lineage: Eukaryota; Metazoa; Chordata; Mammalia; Dermoptera; Cynocephalidae
Source: the annotation of a RefSeq genome assembly